AGAGGGAUUAAAGAAUGGGAUGGGGGUAAAAAAAAAAAAAAUCAAAAUAAAAUGAUGAUAGCAGGGCUGUGUUUUUUUUUCCUGUUUUUUUUUUUUUCCCUCCACUCCCUGCUCUGUUUUAAGU
Non-coding RNA from Xyrichtys novacula (pearly razorfish), 124 nucleotides. Lineage: Eukaryota; Metazoa; Chordata; Actinopteri; Labriformes; Labridae. The record is from the annotation of a GenBank genome assembly.